This 527-nucleotide ribosomal RNA is filed under the name Sticta fuliginosa. Its description in RNAcentral is "eukaryotic LSU rRNA". It matches the Rfam family "Eukaryotic large subunit ribosomal RNA", at positions 104 to 646 of the family's 3401-position model. Lineage: Eukaryota; Fungi; Ascomycota; Lecanoromycetes; Peltigerales; Lobariaceae. The record is from RNAcentral.
ACAGCUCAAAUUUGAAUCUGGCUCCUUCGGGGUCCGAGUUGUAAUUUGUAGAGGGUGUUUCGGGUGCGAUGCCGGUCUAAGUUCCUUGGAACAGGACGUCGUAGAGGGUGAGAAUCCCGUAUGCGACCGGCGAUCAAGCCCGUGCGAAGCCCCUUCGACGAGUCGAGUUGUUUGGGAAUGCAGCUCAAAAUGGGUGGUAAAUUUCAUCUAAAGCUAAAUACUGGCCAGAGACCGAUAGCGGACAAGUAGAGUGAUCGAAAGAUGAAAAGCACUUUGGAAAGAGAGUCAAACAGUACGUGAAAUUGUUGAAAGGGAAGCGCUUGCAAUCAGACCGGUCCGGAGGCGAUCAGCCGCUGCUCGUCAGCGGUGCACUCGCCUGCGAUCCGGCCAGCAUCGGUUUGGGCGGCGGGAUAAAAGUCCCGGGAAUGUAGCUUCCUCCGGGGAGUCUUAUAGCCCGGGUCGCAAUGCCGCCCGCCCGGACCGAGGACCGCGCUUCGGCUAGGAUGCUGGCGUAAUGGUUGCAAGCG